RNAcentral lists this ribosomal RNA (232 nucleotides) under uncultured bacterium. RNAcentral describes it as "partial 16S ribosomal RNA". It matches the Rfam family "Bacterial small subunit ribosomal RNA", at positions 524 to 756 of the family's 1533-position model. The record is from RNAcentral.
UACGGAGGGGGCUAGCGUUGUUCGGAAUUACUGGGCGUAAAGCGCACCGUAGGCGGCUUUGCAAGUCAGAGGUGAAAGCCCGGGGCUCAACCCCGGAAUUGCCUUUGAGACUGCAUCGCUAGAAUUGUGGAGAGGUAAGUGGAAUUCGAGUGUAGAGGUGAAAUUCGUAGAUAUUCGGAAAGAACACCAGUGCGAAGGCGACUUACUGGACACAUAUUGACGCUGAGUGCGA